This 253-nucleotide ribosomal RNA is filed under the name uncultured bacterium. RNAcentral's name for it is "partial 16S ribosomal RNA". It matches the Rfam family "Bacterial small subunit ribosomal RNA", at positions 524 to 776 of the family's 1533-position model. The record is from RNAcentral.
UACGAGAGGCCCAAACGUUAUUCGGAAUUACUGGGCUUAAAGGGUGCGUAGGCGGUGUAGCAAGUCGGGGGUGAAAUCCCCCAGCUUAACUGAGGAAUUGCUUUCGAUACUGCUGCGCUUGAGUGAGACAGAGGUAAGCGGAACUUAGGGUGGAGCGGUGAAAUGCGUUGAUAUCCUAAGGAACACCGGUGGCGAAGGCGGCUUACUGGGUCUCAACUGACGCUGAGGCACGAAAGCUAGGGUAGCAAACGGG